AGUGAACGCUGGCGGUAGGCCUAACACAUGCAAGUCGAACGGCAGCACAGUAAGAGCUUGCUCUUACGGGUGGCGAGUGGCGGACGGGUGAGGAAUACAUCGGAAUCUACUUUUUCGUGGGGGAUAACGUAGGGAAACUUACGCUAAUACCGCAUACGACCUACGGGUGAAAGCAGGGGAUCUUCGGACCUUGCGCGAUUGAAUGAGCCGAUGUCGGAUUAGCUAGUUGGCGGGGUAAAGGCCCACCAAGGCGACGAUCCGUAGCUGGUCUGAGAGGAUGAUCAGCCAAACUGGAACUGAGACACGGUCCAGACUCCUAAGGGAGGCAGCAGUGGGGAAUAUUGGAAAAUGGGCGCAAGCCUGAUCCAGCCAUACCGCGUGGGUGAAGAAGGCCUUCGGGUUGUAAAGCCCUUUUGUUUGGAAAGAAAAGCAGCAGGUUAAUACCCCGCUGUUCUGACGGUACCCAAAGAAUAAGCACCGGCUAACUUCGUG
Molecule: ribosomal RNA, 492 nt
Filed under: uncultured bacterium
Lineage: Bacteria
Description: partial 16S ribosomal RNA
Rfam family: Bacterial small subunit ribosomal RNA
Source: RNAcentral